CUGUAUGGUGGUGGGGUCUCCAUAUGUCUUUGGGGGCGUUCCCAUGUGUUCCCAUUGACUCCCAGUGUCUUUGGGGUUGGGGGGGGGUCCAUUGUCUUUGGGGGGGGGGUUCCAUUCGGUUCCAUGACCCCAUUGUCUUUUGGAGGGGGGUCCAUUGUCUUUAUGGGGGGGGUUCUCCUUUAUUUUUAUUUGGGGGGGGGUCUCCAUUCUUUCUUUAUGGGGGGGGGGUCCCCCUUAUGUUCUUUAUGGGGGGGUCUCCAUUCUCUUUUAAUGGGGGGUCCCCUUAUUCAUUUAUGGGGGGGUCCCCCAUUAUUCUUAUUGGGGGGGUCUCCAUUCUUCUUUAUGGGGGGGGGUCUCCAUUCUUCUUUAUGGGGGGGGGUCUCCAUUCUUCUUUAUGGGGGGGGUCCCCAUUCUUCUUAGGUGGGGGGGUCCCCCAUUAUGUUCUUAUGGGGGGGUCCUCCAUCUUCCAAUAUGGGGGGGCGUCUCAUUCUUAAUUUAUGGGGGGGGUCCCCAUUAUUCUUAUGGGGGGGGGUCUCCAUUGUUCUUUUAUGGGGGGGAGAUCUCCAUUCUUCGCUUUAUGGGGGGGGUUCCCCCAUUUAGGUCGUUAUUGGGGGGGGGUCCCCCUUAUUUUCUUUUUGUCCGGGGGGCGUCCCCCUUUUAUUUAUGGGAGCGGGCCCCCAUAUUCGUAUUGGGGGGGGUCUCCUCUUCUUAUGGGGGGGUCAUCCAUUACCUUCUUUAUGGGGGGGUCUCCAUUUCGUUCUUUAUGGGGGGGUCCCCCUAUUCUUCUUUAUGGGGGGGGGUCUCCAUUAUUCUUUAUGGUUGGGGUCCCCUAUUCUUCGUGUAUAUGGGGGGGUCUGCCAUGUCUUCUUUAUUGGGCGGCUCCCCAUUUUCUUAUUGGGGGGGUUCUCCUUUAUUCUUUCAUGGGGGGUCGUCCAUUAUUCUGUUAUGGGGGGGGUCUCCAUUCUUCGUUAUUGGGGCGGGGGUUCUCCAUUCUUCUUUACUCGGGGGGCUCCAUUAUUUUCUUUGAUGGGGGGGGGUCCCCAGUUUCUCUUUAUUGGGGGGCUUCCUUUAUUCUUUAUGGGGGGGGUCUCCAUUAUCCUUUAUGGGGGGUGUCCCCAUAUUCUUCUUAUUGGGGGGGGGUCCCCCUUUAUUCUUUAUGGGGGGGGUCUCCAUUGUUCUUUAUGGGGGGUCUCCAUUAUUCUUUUAUGGGGGGGGGUCUCCAUUAUUCUUUAUGGGGGGGUCUCACAUUCUUAUCUUUAUGGGGGGCGGUCCCCAUUAUCUUCUAUGGGGGGGGUCCCCUUUUCUUUAUGGGGGGGUCUCCAUUAUUCGUUUAGUAUGGGGGGGUCCCCAUUCUUCUUUAUGGGGGGGGUCCCCAUUCUUCUUUAUGGGGGGUCCCCCUUAUGCUUUAUGGGGGGGGUCCCCCUUUAUUCUUCUUAUUGGGGGAUCUACCAUUAAUUCUUAUGAGGGGCGGGUCUCCAUUGUUCUUUGAUGGGGGGGGUCUCCCAUAUAUUCCUUAUGGGGGGGGGUCUCCAUUAUUCCUUAUGGGGGGGGUCUCCAUUAUUCCUUUAUGGGGGGGGGUCUCCAUUGUUUUUUAAUGGCGGGGGGGUCUCAGACGUAGGCGUUGCGUCCGUACUUGUCCCCAGGCUGUGGAUGAAUGAGGAUCCUAUGGGGCGGGGGGGGGGCUUCCAAAUGGGGGGGGGCUAAUUAAGUAGGGGGGGGGGUAAGGAAUGGGGGGGGGGUUAAUUAAUAGAGGGGGGGUAAUUAAUAGAGGGGGGGGUAAUUAAAUUAGGGUGGGGGGGUUUAGAAAGGGGGGGAGAGUUUUUAGAGUGGGGGGGACCCCCAAACCUCCGACCCCCCCC
Molecule: long non-coding RNA, 1859 nt
Organism: Coturnix japonica (Japanese quail)
Lineage: Eukaryota; Metazoa; Chordata; Aves; Galliformes; Phasianidae
Source: Ensembl